Molecule: ribosomal RNA, 1203 nt
Filed under: Triticum aestivum (bread wheat)
Lineage: Eukaryota; Viridiplantae; Streptophyta; Magnoliopsida; Poales; Poaceae
Description: partial small subunit ribosomal RNA
Source: RNAcentral
AUGCCGCCCCACUACCGCCGGAUCCUCUUCUCGGACGACUGCGAUCCUUGGUACGGCUGCCCCACGCCUCCCGCCCCUCCCUUCUUCACCCCUUCCCCAUCCCCCUCGCCUUCCUCUCCGCCGCCGAUCAUAUCGCCUCCUCCUCCUCCUUCGCCUUCCUUUUCUUUCUAUUUCCCUUCCCCCCCGGACCUUGCUCCGUCCCCUUCGCCCGUCCAUGACGGCGGCGGUGGUUGGAGUGACCAGGGAGGAGGAACUUACGGGUACGGCGCCGUCGAUGACCGCCGCCGCCGCUUCGUCACCUACGUCCUCUGCGCCGCCGCGGCGCUCGCGUUCCUCUCCCUCAUCCUCCUCGGCGCCUCGAUCGCCGUCCGUCGUCGGCAGCUGCGGCGGCGGCGGCAGGCGCUCCUCGCCCAGCCGCCGGCCGCCGCGACCAACGUCGGGAACGACGACCCGGAGGGCGGCGGCAGCGGCGGCGUGGUGCACCACGUCUGGUACAUCCGGACCGUCGGGCUCGACGAGGCGGCGAUCGACUCGAUCGCGGUGACGCGGUACCGCGCGGGGUCUGGGCUCCUCGGCGCCGCCGACUGCUCCGUGUGCCUCGGCGAGUUCAACGACGGCGAGCUCGUGCGCCUGCUGCCCAAGUGCGGCCACGCGUUCCACGUCCCCUGCAUCGACACCUGGCUCCGCGCCCACGUCAACUGCCCGCUCUGCCGCUCCGACGUGAUCGACCCCGCCGCCACGACCGCCGGAGCCGGCAUCGAGUCCGACUCGAACCCAUCGGCUGAUCCAGAUGUGAACGCCAACGCCGCAGCCGAGCAAGCGGCUGCCGGGAGCGAUUCAACGCUGGAGCAUGAAGACGACGAGGAGGACCAGGAAGCGCCGCGCGUGGAAGAAGAACAGCACGAGCAGCAGCAACCCAAUUCGCCAGAGCCAGAGCCAUUGCCGCAGCUCCCGGGCCCGCUGCCGCGGAAUGUGCGGCGCGCGGCGUCGAUGAACGCGGCGAUGGUCUCAACGGCGGCAGACGUGGCCGCGCUGGACCGGCUGCCUGACGCGGCCCCCGAAGGGGAGGAGCGGAAUGGCAGAGAGAAGCAUCAAAGCGGUGCGACCGGCCAUCCGAGCACCGAGAGGCCCGCGCCCGGCGGUCUCCCGAGGUCCUUCUUCGCGCGGCACUGCCGUGCCCGGAGCUCUGUGCUGCCGCUGUGA